RNAcentral lists this ribosomal RNA (355 nucleotides) under uncultured bacterium. RNAcentral's name for it is "bacterial SSU rRNA". It matches the Rfam family "Bacterial small subunit ribosomal RNA", at positions 8 to 349 of the family's 1533-position model. The record is from RNAcentral.
AGAGUUUGAUCCUGGCUCAGGAUGAACGCUAGCUACAGGCUUAACACAUGCAAGUCGAGGGGAAACGACAUCGAAAGCUUGCUUUUGAUGGGCGUCGACCGGCGCACGGGUGAGUAACGCGUAUCCAACCUGCCCACCACUUGGGGGAUAACCUUGCGAAAGUAAGACUAAUACCCAAUGACGUCUCUAGAAGACAUCUGAAGGAGAUUAAAGAUUUAUCGGUGAUGGAUGGGGAUGCGUCUGAUUAGCUUGUUGGCGGGGUAACGGCCCACCAAGGCGACGAUCAGUAGGGGGUUCUGAGAGGAAGGUCCCCCCACAUUGGAACUGAGACACGGUCCAAACUCCUACGGGAGCA